UUUCUAUUAACUUCGAUUAUUUAUAUUAAUAAUGUCUAACAAGAAACAACAGCCUGCAUUUCAAGGGAAGGAAUGUUUCAGUCGUAUGAAUUUCCUCUUCCAAGCCUCCAUGCUAAUGGCAGGCAAGAACAACACGUUAUCUGCCUACUAUGGCGAACUAUGUCGGAGUAUUGGCAAGAAAGCUGUGCUUAAAAUUGAUCCAGACAUAAAGCGUCAGAUGUGUAAACGCUGUUCAGUGGCAUUAAAACCAGGCAUAACCGCUGAUCUGCACGCUGUGACGAGACGGAAGCGUCGAAAGACGCUGAAAAUUAAUGAUAAUGUGGAUGAAGAUACAAGCAUGGUAUUGACCUGCCGUCAUUGCGGUUUUGGACGCCAGUUUAUAGUUAAUCCAGAUUACAAAUUUUGGUUGGACAAUGAGGAAUCUGUGGUGGAAACUAUUACUUUGGAAGACAAGAAGAGUGAGAAGAAACGAAAGCGGGCAACAGUCAAAGAAAAAGAAAAAGCAGAAGCUACCACAAAAGCAAAAUAGUUUUACUAUAGAAAGAGAAAAAUAAACAUUCCACAUAGUAUAUGUAUUUGUACAUAUGUAGUAUGCAUUUGAGAUAACAAUAGCGCCGUAGAGUACGUAAAAAAAGUAUUGAUAAUGAAUAGUAAAUAGUAUCCGUGAUUACAAAGUGUUUCUAUAAUUUCUCUGAGGAAUAUUAGGAGUGAUCCAGCCUCACAUUAGUAUUUCCGUCUGAAGUAAUCUUUACAACAAAAAAAAAAAAAAACAA
RNA transcript from Zeugodacus cucurbitae (melon fly), 773 nucleotides. RefSeq lists it as uncharacterized. The transcript has 3 exons. Lineage: Eukaryota; Metazoa; Arthropoda; Insecta; Diptera; Tephritidae. The record is from RefSeq and is a predicted model, not a curated record.